GCGCACCAGUCGAGAAUCUUCCACAAUGGGGGAAACCCUGAUGGAGCGACGCCGCGUGCGGGAUGAAGGCCCUAUGGGUUGUAAACCGCUGUUCAGUGGAAGAACAUCCUCCGGCUGAAUAGGUCGGAGGCCUGACGUUACCACUGCAGAAAGUCCCGGCCAACUCCGUGCCAGCAGCCGCGGUAAGUACGGGGGGACGAGCGUUGUCCGGAAUCAUUGGGCGUAAAGGGCGCGUAGGCGGCGAGGAAGUCGAAUGUGAAAUCUUGCGGCUCAACUGCAAAACUGCGUUCGAAACUUCCUCGCUUGAGUAUG
Molecule: ribosomal RNA, 312 nt
Filed under: uncultured microorganism
Description: bacterial SSU rRNA
Rfam family: Bacterial small subunit ribosomal RNA
Source: RNAcentral